ACACGGUAAGGAUUGACGGACUGAAGGCUCUUUCUCGAUUCCGUGGAAAGUGGUGCAUGGCCGUUUUUGGUUGGUGGAUCGAUCCGUCUGGUUAAUUCCGUUAACGAACGAGACCUCGGCACUCCGAAUAGCGCGGCGGACGUCGCGGCCUCCGGGCCGUCUUCCGCACGAGCUUCUUAGAGGGACCGUCCCCCCGCCGGGGAAGGAGGUGCGAGGCAACGACAGGUCUGUGAUGCCCUUAGAUGUUCUGGGCCGCACGCGCAUUACACUGACGCGUCCAACGGGUGACUCCCGACCCGAAGGGGCCGGGGAAUCCGCAAGGCGCGUCGUGAUGGGGAUUGAACGUUGCAAUUGUUGUUCACGAACGAGGAAUUCCUAGUAGGCGCGGGUCAUCAACCCGCGCCGAUUACGUCCCUGCCCUUUGUACACACCGC
This 434-nucleotide ribosomal RNA is filed under the name uncultured eukaryote. Its description in RNAcentral is "bacterial SSU rRNA". It matches the Rfam family "Eukaryotic small subunit ribosomal RNA", at positions 1228 to 1672 of the family's 1831-position model. The record is from RNAcentral.